GUCAUUUUCCCAUAACCUUCCCUGGCUGAGGAGGCGGCUGAGGCCUGGGAAGAUCCAGAGGGCACAGUCCCCGCUUUCCCUCGUUGGGUUUGCUGGUGUGGGGCUGGUCUGGGCUUCCGGUGCUGCUAAGGGAAACCAGGAAGCGACACCUGGGUUCCGGCAGAACCACAGCGGCCUGGUGGGAAGAGACCCCGCGCUGCUGCCAGCUUCACGUCGCCCAGGAAGGGGCCCGCGUGAGAAAGGAGAAACGGUGGUGGAGACCGGGAAGUGGGGCGGCGGAAGGGGAACCGGGAGUGUGGGGGCGGCGGGCAGCGUGGGGGCCGCUCGGGGCGCGUGUCAGCCUGCGACGCCGGCUCCUGCCCGGGCUGCCUGUGCUGCUCCGGGCCGCCGCGCCCUCUCACGGCUCCCUGAGCGCUUCCCGAAGGAGUGAUGCAAAACCACCGCCUCCCUACCCAUCACGGUUCGCUUCCCGCCUGAAGAGGAACAGCGUUCCUGCCAUGAGCGCCGUGCAGCCUGUUUGCUGCCUCAGUCUCCCCUUUCCUUCCUCCUCCUCCUCCUCCACUAUUAUUACCUACACAGUGUUCUGCCUGCAUGUCCCCUGCAGGCCAAAGGGGGCAGCAGAUAGCAAUGUAGGAUGUGCUUGCUGGGGCUUGAACUCAGGACCUCUAGAAGAGCAGCCAGUUCUUUAACCUCUGAGCCCUCUCUCUAGCCCCGUAGCCCGCCCUUUUCAAACGCCCUUUGCUACCACCCUGUUCCCAAAUCAGAAGCCCUUUGUGGAGCUUCCUGACCCUCAGUUUUCUGUUUAUUUUUUCUUAUAUAAUAAUAAUCAUGUCAUUAUUUAUUUAUUGUUAUUUUAUUGUUAUUAUUAUUAUUUAAACUCCCAGGUCAUACAUUUUAUUUUAUCUUAUCUUCCUCGUGAUCUGGUUGAUCAACUUUUCCAAGGAUCUGAAUGAUCUGGGGUCUGAAUGAUUGAAAACAAAACAACAAACUGUAAAGUGCAGCUCUGGGGUCGGAGAGACGGCUCAGUGCUUCAGAGCACUGGCUGUUCUUCUAGAGGACCUGGGUUUGGUUCCCACGUCUGUAUCCUGUGGCUGAUAACUCCCGGGGAUCAGACAGUCUCUGCUGGCCCCUGCAGGCCCACCAGACCUGUAAACAUAAAUCUUAGAGCAAACAAGCCCAGUUCUGUUGGGAGGGGAGGAAGAGGGAACCGGGCCCUCUUGUUUGGCCCCAACAAGGAUUUCUGUCUAGUUGGCUUUUGAGCUUGUCUGUGCUGUGGCAUGUGAGGGACGUUCCCCACUGAGCUCGUCCUGCUCCAUGGAAUAUACCAGGAGGAUGUGGUGCCCAGGGACCAGGCGCCCCUCACCCUCUUGCUGUCCACACCUCUCCAGCCCCUCCUCACAUCUCUGGACUAUUUCCUUUCUCUUCUUUUGACAGGGUCUCCUGUAGCCCAGGCUGUCCUCAAAUUCCCUACAUAGUGGAGUGUGACCUUGAACUCAUGGCCCUCCUGACUCUGAUUUUACCUCUCAAGCAUUAGUGUUACACUGGCCAGGAGGCCGGCCCCGCUGCUGCCCAGGGAACCUUUCUGCCCAGGGAAUGGAAGGGUUUCCUGUCAGUGCUGAUUUUGAAGAAAGACUACAGAGCGGGGAGCCCAAGAUGUCCAAGAAAAGGAACUGAAGGCAGGUCAAGGUCUGAGGAGAGCACAGUCUGUCGUGGCAAAGAGGGCAGGCAGCAGGAGCGCGAGCUGCUGGUCACAUCCUAGCCAGUCAGGAAGCAUGAUGGAUGCUGAGGCUUGGCUCGCUUCCUGGUUUAUUCAGCUGGUUGCCCUGGCCCAGGGGACGGGGCUGACCACCUUCAGCGAGGCUCUACCCGUCUCUGUUUCAUAUCCUUGGACCCUCCCUCACAGACUCUCCCAGAGAGAGGUGUGUGUCCUCUGGGAUUCGGCAUCCAGUCACCUGAGCAUCGCACCCUGCUUGCUCCGUGGCCUCUGCAUACAAGGGAUCCAAGCUCAGCUGCGCGCCACUGCCAGCAGCCACCGAGGAGAACCUGCUUCCGACAUAUCAGCGGAGAAUCCAGGCGGGUUUACCUUUGACAACGUGGAUGUCUUCUGCAAAGUCUGUCCUAGGAGGCAGGCUGCUUAAGGGAAAUGCCCCAUUCUCCAGGGCUGGGAUCCGGGUGGGAUGGAGUGUCCCCCAACUGGAGUAUGACCACCGCCCCUCCCGCAGUCAGUGAGCAAGGCAGCCCCUUGUCAUGCGUGAGGCUAGCCUCGGUUGGGGAGUAUGUGUGGAGUGAGGGGUUGGAAGAGAUGGGUGAGCCAGUCCCUAAGGUACUGGGUGGGUAUCGUUACUGUCCCAGGAGCCCCUGGUUGGGAAGCUUUUGGGGUUAUCACUUUCCCAGGAGGAUUUGUCACACCCUAAGAACAGAGUUGCACAGUCUUUAUUGGACAUGCAAGGUCAUGGCUUGAUUGUGAAAUCUGUUUUAAAUUUAGAAAUAAUCACAUAAAUAGGUGAAAGUUGAAGGUCCUACAAAGGAGUUAUUUAUUUAUUUUUUUGUGAAUGGAGAAUAAAUUUACUGGUGUCUCCUACGAGGAAGGAAUUAAAAUAUAUGACAACAAUCAUAAGUUGGAAACAUUUAUAAGCAUUUAUGCCUUUGUCAGCAGGACUGACAGGGUGAAUAAAAUAAGCAGCAAACAAACCCCGGAACAGCUUGGCCCUCAGUAAAUGUCUUCAAGUUUCAACCCCCAGGGACCCAAAGGGCUGGCAUAUCUGCAUAGCUUGCCCAUCCUCCACUCUGUGGAAACUUCCCAAGCACUUGCUGAGGGUAGGGGGCUGUGGCCCCAGAGUGCUGGAGGGAGCAAGCUCUUGGCAGCUGAGGCCGUGGUUCAGGGACUUGGGGCAGGGGGCUGGGGAUUAAGACAGGACAGGUGUUCUUACAGAAGCAGAGAGGAGUGGGAAGAGAGGCACAUGGAGGGGACAGGAGCCCUACAAGGAGACUAAAAGAUCUGAGCAGGGGGUCCUGCAGAGAGCGAUGCACCAACAGAGGACCAUGCAUGGAGAGGACCUAAAUCCUUUGCUAGGAUGUAGCCGACUGGCAGCUCAGUCUCCAUGUGGAUCUCUGAGGGAGGGGAGCAGGGGCUGCCUCUAUUGUGAACUCAGUUUACUGCUCUCUGAUCACUCGCCCCUGAUGGUGCAGCCCUGCCAGGCUACGGAGGAAGAGGAUUCAGGCAGUCCUGAUGAGACUUAAGCUAUGGGCAGAUGGCUAUAAUGGACUCUCCCUUUCAGUGGACUAGGGGAAGGGGAUGAGGGAAGAGGGAGGGAGGGUGGGACUUGGGAGAGUUGAGGGAGGUGAAGUCAAUUGGGACGUUUAAUGAAUAAAUUGUGAAGGAAAAAAAGACAGGACAGGUGGCAGUGGGAGAUCACAGGGUGCAGCACAGUGGAUAGCAGGUCAUGGGUAGGGGUGGGGGAUGCCCAGGCAGUGGGAGAUCACAGGGCGCAGCACAGUGGAUAGCAGGUCAUGGGUAGGGGUGGGGAAUGCCCAGGACGUGUGUGGGAGGAGGAGCAGGCUCAGUGAGAGGGACUGUGAUGUGUGGUGCGGGUGGGUUUGAGAGGACCAGGCCUGCCCCCUCCCCCCAAAAGUCAUCAGUUCCAGGAACAAGGUCAUAAAAUUCCCUGUCCAAGGAACAGCCUGAGGACAAUCACAGUAAAAAUCCUGCCGUGCAGCUGCUGGGGGCUCUCCUCCCUGAUCCGCUGCGUUGGUGACGGUGGAGAUACCGAGCUUAAGCUCUAAUAAAGCUCUUUGCUCUUGCAUUUGUGGUCCGGUUACUGGCGGUCUU
Long non-coding RNA from Meriones unguiculatus (Mongolian gerbil), 3829 nucleotides. RefSeq lists it as uncharacterized. The transcript has 3 exons. The record is from RefSeq and is a predicted model, not a curated record. NCBI's taxonomy places the organism in Eukaryota, Metazoa, Chordata, Mammalia, Rodentia, Muridae.